CAGGACGCGUUCGGAGGGCCAAAUUCAAAAAUUAUUUUCUUCCUUAAAACAAAAAAUAAUUUGAUUAGACUUGCUUCAUUGCUUAACGAUGUAGUCUACGGUCAAACAUGUGACAAAUCGCACAUUUUCUCUAAUUUCACAAUUUUUUUCGGGAAGAUUUGAAGUCUAUUUUACCCUUAAACAUUUUUGUACUAAAAUGCACUUUCCUGAAAAUGAUACUAUUAUUUAUAUUGGUUAGGGAGAGUUACAGAUAGGUCAAGGAAAAAUCACGAACUUUUAACAUUUUUGUAGUUUUUGAAGAUACGUAGCUGGUAGUGAAACACAAAAUAUUCGGAAUUAAAGAAUAGGACAACUAAACAGAACCUCUGUGAUGGCGCAAGCGUGGUUUCGAACCUCAACACACAAAAAAUAGAUUUUAUACACAUUUUUUUAUAAGGCACGGUUUAACAAAUACAAGCAAAAUUCGACGGGGCGCCAUAAUCGUCAAAAUUUUUUUCGAGCAACAAUGUUUUGCCACAAUACUCUAUAUGGCACAGGAAAAAGGCACAAAUUUUAUCAGCAAAAUCUGCUAUGUGCAAGAGCCACGUCUGGGACACUUGGCGUGGAAUGACCCAUAUAUAUAUAUAUAUAUAUAUACACACACACACACACACAUACUUAGCAUUGUACCACCUAUAAGUUUAGCUGAUACUAUACAAGUUGCUUGUUUCACACCACUUCACUUAGCUUAUUGGGGAAUGGCAAGAACAUGGAAAACAUUCCGACAAGCCUUAAGCAUGUAAUAGCGCAAUGCUUGCAGAAGGCCGGUAGGUGUGUAUCGAAAGGUGAAGUGUAUGGGACUUGGUACCAUCUCUGGAAAUGUCCAUAUCUGUACUGGCUUGGUAUGUGAAAAAAUGGAAGUCUAUUGGAGGGAGAAGUGAUAAAGUUUCGAAGAAAGAGCCUAGCUUGUAGCAUGGUGUUCAUGACAGAGAAGAAAAACUGAGUGGCUACUUGUGGAAGGAGAGCAAGAUGCACUACGAACUCACACGCAUGCAAGUCCACUCACUGGCUUGCUGAUAUGCAAAGGCACUUGGUCGCAGAUGUCUGGAGUCAUGAAAAGCUGAUGGUUGGUAUAACCAACCACCAGCUUUUAAUUAUUAGCGAACUAUUAGGAUUCCUGCUAGCUACAACUUCAAGAACAAUGUUUGUCUCUACCCAUAAGCACCACCAAUAAGAAUGAUACAAGAAGGAAGGAGAAAGGGAAGUAUAGUGUUGCGUUGAUAGACCUGCAGAAAAACUGAAAACUGAGUGUGCAGCUGUCGAGAAAAAGAGAGAAAACCGCAGAUGCAGCCAAAAGGCGAGCACUGAAAGUGAAUUCCAAGCGUUCUCACAUCAGACGCUAGAUUCGAGAAGCGCCAAACUCCCACUUUGAAGGUAAACACAUUUUUAUGGUGCCAGAGGGAGCCAACCCUCUGAGUAAUCCAUCACUCUGAUGAUGAGCAUGGCUGCUUCCCUAAAAAUGACUUCCAAGAGGGUCUAUUAGCGGUUUGAAAAAUAAUGUCCUGGUGAAAUUAUGCAGAAAAAGAUCAGUUGACUUUUUACAGAGGUCUAGUCAGGAGCAGUGACAUAACUGGUGUCAUAGUUGAGUGCAUUUGACGAAGGAACAACAACGCAUGGACAGUGUUUCCCCACUUAAGAGGACGUAAUUAAAACUUCAUUGGAGGGCACUGUGUCAACAUCAUCUCACGUAGAGCUGGCCGGCAGUACGAAAUGACUGUGAUCUGCUAAUAUUUGGUGCAUAUAUGACACCCUCCAAAAUUGACUAACACAACUUUUUGGAGUGACGAGCCAUCUGUCCCAUUGCAUCCAAAUGAUGUCCCAUUCCUCCCACAUUUAAGGGUGAAGUGGGGGAAUAUUUAUUGUUUACCAUUGGCUUUUUUUUAACUCCCUAGAAGACAUUAAAGGCUGUCCUCUUUUGUUGCGAUUACAUAGCCCUCACUCAAUAUUCAGGUAAUUUGAACUUGUUUCUAGGCUGCAAAUAAAUGGAGAAAAAUAUUCAAGCAGGUAAGUCAUCCAAAUCCUCCCAGCUCUCCACUAGUCCCAGUAGCCGAAAUAUGUUGUUGAAGCCUUACUUCAUCACAUUUGAUGUAUGGCUGUAUUUAUCUCUCUAGUGUGAACAUUAUGCUGCAUAUGGUUUCUUGAAACAAGUUGUACCAGCCUCUCCUGUAAUUACCAUAAAUCUGCUAAGGGUGAUAUAAAAGAACAGCCACCAAGUGCAAGCUCAGUAAUGCAAGCUUAACCAUGGCUAUUUGAUUCUGGCCACUUGGUGAAUAGUGACACUUUCUAAACUUGUUGGAAUCUGUUCGAUUCAGCUUUGUGCCAGUUCAAUAACGUAAUGCUAAGUGUUGCUAGAGUAAUACUUAGUUAUAAAGAUUAUCAAAAAGGGGAGUGCUGGUUAGACAUCACAUGCUUUUGGUCACUCACAAUCGUGCAAGAACAUUCUUAUUUACGCACACUUCUUCAGUUUCUUCUAGAAGGACCAAAACCUAAAAUAAGUGGCUGUCAAAUGUGGCGUCUGCUGCACACGUCUUUAACGAAACAUAUUGAAUGACUACAGAACACCAUGAAGACGACACAGUGAAGCUCUCCAUUGUUGGAUGCAGGGGUGCAACAGCCGAAAUAGGACUUGGAGCAAUUUUUGGAGCAGCAAAAUGUUGCAUUGGAGCACAAAAAUUGAAAUUUUGAGCAGGUUGCGAAAAAAAGCCUGAAUUUUUUAGCCCGAAAUCCCAAAUUUGGAGCAGUAUAACAAAGAAGGCUUACUUUUAGAAAAGAAAACAAAAAUACGUAAAAACCAUUCAACAUCAGCUAUUUCGUGCACAGUGCAUGUGAACGCUGCUAUUUCAAUAAAAGCAGUGUGUUGAGCCACCCCACAGUGCGAACAAUGACUAAGUACACGUUAGCAUCUGCAGGACCUGUCAAAUAAUUCGACAGGCACUGGAAAUGCUAAUGUGGACCUGCGAACCUGGCAACCUAGAAAUUUGGGAGAUUCAUAAAGCAGGAGCAAGUGAGGGUAGCGAAAAAAGAAAACUGUCAUACGCUUUUGUCUAUUGUUUCUCAAGGCCGCAGAAACGCCAUACACAGCAGCUCCAAAUGAUUGCCAAUAAUUUUUUAGAUGUCAGCGAUCAUACUAGUACUUGUAAUUACACGGUGCGUGCAUGAAUGAGUAAUGAAGGAACAAAAUGUGUUCAGUCCCUGACAGCUAGUACUAAUAGCCCCUUCUAAAUCUCAGUAUGCUUUUCCGCAGGACACCAGUGUACUGCAGCAAAAGUGGCUUAAAAAGCGUUCUGCACGCAAUAAAACAAGCAUCAGGAAAUUUGAGAACUACUGUCCUUUUCUACUGUGAUAACAACUAUAUGGACACUAUCGACGAGUUUUUGCCGUCAUCUCCCGUAUAAAGUCCAAAUUGAUAACAUAUCCCUGUGCAUAGUAUGUUCUACCAUGGGUAAAAGCAUGUGAGCGCGUGCGACGAACGCGACUGAAGCAGAUGUCAAAUGAGCCAGGCCAUCUCCGUCGCUCGGAUGGCGCAUGCUAUAACACCACUCCACUCGGGAAGCCUGCCAUCGAAGCAUAGAGGAAACGCCCCGUCCGUCUUGAACGAGCAUGAAAAGAUGCGAGAGGGGGGCGGUGGAGCUGUCGCUCGAGCAGCAACUUUUGAACUUUGAUUCUAAGGGUGCGGUCGCGAUCGCUGGUGCGCGCGCUAUCUCGGCAGCCAUCAGCGGGCGGCUCGUAUAUCCUGCUACGUGCUGCGCUGUCAAUGCGAAGACACUGUGCAGAAAGAGCAUCUUUCCCUGGAAACGCCGUAUUCUCUUACACCAAUGUUUUGUAGAGUUACGCGAGAUUGGAUACAAAAGAGUUUGCUGCCAGCCUCACUUCGUAUAGCAUUACAAUUUGUUGCUAUCGCAUUCAUUGCUUCGUCCUUCCGGUGAAACUGACUUUUUUCUUUUCUUUCGGGGGGGAUAGGGUUAGGGUCUGCGCGUCUGUAUUGGAUGACGAUGCCCACACUGCAGAUGACCAAUGCGGCCUCCAUUUCUCGCUCAAAUUUGCGCAUCUAAGAAUAUUUUAAGCUGGUCAGGCAUUUUGGCGCAGCGUGGCGCAAUUUUAACAAAUUUCACGGUUUUGGCUUAGCUUGGCGCAAAAAUAAGGAAUUGUAUCAAAUUGGCACAAUUGGCGCAGCUGUUGCAUCCCUGCGAGGAUGUCGUCUUUGUGGUAUUUUGUCUUAGCUCAACAUGUUCCAUUUAGACGGCCAUAAGCUAGCCCAAAGUCAUGUCAUUAUACAACACAUUUUUGAUACCAUAUAUGGUCCAUUCAUUUGAUUUGCUUUAAAUCAAUGUCUGCUCUAUGCAGUGAACAUGCAUUUUCUCUGCAGAUGUGUAGCUGCAGAGUUUAUUGAUCACCUGGACUAGCAUGCACUUCUACAAGUUUUUUAUUACAGCACUUCUGGAUUAAACAAUUCUUAACGGAAUGUUUUCAAACUAUAAUGACCCUGUGACUCAAAUGCAAGGGCACCACACUUCAUAAGGUGCUUGCUGGUAAUGUGCUACAGAGUCCCAUAUUAAAGUACUCAAGCAGCAGAAUUCAGAGUCCUUUAAAGUUAGUGGGGUCAGUACUGCCUCACGCUCACCAGCCUGCUUGUGCCAGUCACUGUUUAAUAAUUCACUUGCUUAUGUACCAUGGAAUAGCUGCAUCUACCACACACAGGACAGUCUUUCAGAAUUUAGGCAUCACAAAGGCCUACAAAGCCUGCACACACAUCCAAUGAAGGUGGUUUAAGCUUUCACAAAGGAAAGGUUAUUGGAAGUGGGAGGCCUAUGUUACUGACUGUUUUGUUUGAAUGCCAUAUGUGAAGCAUGACCGCAUUGGAUAUGUCAUGAUCAGUCCCUGUGUUAAAAAAAUCUGGCCCUGCUCACUCCAUUGGAAGCCUUGCAAAUGUCUCAUUACUCAGUGGCAUUCAAACUCUUUGUCCUUGAAAUGCAAUGCUGUGCAUGUAUAUGCCAGUUUGUUAAAACAUUGUUAGUUUUUGGAGGGAAUUUCAGACUGCAAAAUGCAUACAGGUGUUCUUGCUUAACUGCACACAAAUUGAACUUAGGGGCUUUGAGUUAACAAAAACACCUCAGACAUGACCAUGCUUACAACUGCUUUUUGCACCUUUUGCACCUCUAACAGGUCAGUUCUCUGCCAUUGUGGCAUGCAGAAAUGUAGUUCAGACAGUCUGCAUUUAUGUUCAAGUGCACAUAAAUGAUGUUGGAACCAUACAGUGAGCAUACUUCACUACCACAUUUUUUUUGUGUGUGUGUGUUCAUGUAUUCUUUCUCAUCUAUGUGACCCACCUCUGCUUUAACAACCAUGCAUGGGCUAUGCUGAGGAGCACAGAAAUGGAAUGAAAAAGUGCUUUUGUAGCUGCAGGUGUUGUCAACUUGAGAAUCAAAAGGUGGCUCCUGUGAGAGUAAUUUAACCUGGUACUUUGCCCCUGCCAUGAGUAAUUGGCCAAUAGGGGAAGAGCUUACAACAGACGCACGGUGAAACGCAUGUUGACACUUCCUCACUUUCAUGAUGCUUGUCCGGCACUGAGGCUACAUUGUAAAGUGUUCUUAUGCAAAAUAUGUUUGGUCACUGGCACGAACAAUGCUGCCUUCCGUUUCCAUGUCAAAGUGAAAAAAAAAAAGUAGUAUGUAGUUGCUCUGUCACAAUGCUGUGUGUGAUUUAUCCAUGGACACGUCAGUGUUUAUACAAAGCAUGGAAAUUUUUCAAAUGUAUCAAAUAAGUCCUUGACAGCUCUUGUCUCUUCAAGAAAAACCCUUAUAAUUUUUUUUUAAUUAAAAGUGCCAGUAGUCUUCUUAAAAUGAAGACACAGCUGCUGUCUAUGUUCAAGAAUAUUAUUGAGAGGCUGCUUCAGACUAGUGAACCACCACAAGGACUAGUGAACCACCACAAAAGUAUUCAUUGCAUUGGUUUGACUGUAGGAGCUACUGUUGACUUCUUGACUGCUUUUUUCUCCAUAUGGGCUAACAUGCUACAAGCAGAGCAAAGGACAUGCACAAUGGAAAGUGAUGCAAGCUGAUAUACAAAGUUUUUCUAUGUAGGCCUUAAUUAAUACUUCAUGGGCAUAUUGCAAUAAAAGGGCUGUUCUUUUGUAUACGUACCAUUACCUCUGGUGCCAAUGGAGUAACAUAUGACAUGAAAUAAUUAGUCACUGAUUAGCAAAAAUGUAAUAAUUAUUUUAUUGAGACCUCUGUAAAAGCCAUAUCAGCUUCUGAAUGUGAAAAAAAAAAAAGGUGGUCACCUGUGGAUCUGUGGCACAAUGAAUUCCUGCUUUCAGCAUGCAAAACCAUAACAGGGAGGCAUAAGUGCACAUGGCCGCACCUCUGGAGGCAACAUUGUUGCAUAAAUCACCAAACUGCGGGCAGCCAAUGCUGUGCCAUUCUACACUGUCAACAAUUGAGCUGCACAAUGCUGACACCAAGCACAAAUUACUCACUGUGAUGUAAUUACUUCAGUGAUGUAAGCAGAAACAUUGUCUCAGUGGAUGUAGCCAUUUGUGUGCAUCUGUUUUCUGGCUUUGUUUUCACGCACUCCAAGAGUGGGAAUUCGUCGUGCCACAGUUUCAUGGUUAAUUGCACCUGUUCACAUUCCAAAGCUGAUAUGGCUUUUACAGAGAGCUCACUUAAAUUGGCCAUUUAUAAUGAACCCACUCAACCUAGUAGCUUAGAAGUUAAUUAACUUAUUUUUGCUAUUUACCACCUAAUUACCGCAUAUCACCCAUCGUCAUACGGCCACCACAUCUCAUGGCAUGUCAGUGGUGGUAAUGGACCUGCCCUUUUAUUUCAAGACAGCUCUUUUUAAGUAAUACUUAGUCCUCAAAGAAACACCCAGUAUACAGUCUCACAAAUAGCAACAUAAUUGCUCUCAAGGCCAUUUUUUUUCUUUAUAGAGAAAAUUCUUUGGCAUGCACUUUUAAUUAGUAAUGACCCUGCGAGUAUGCAGUGACAUUUGAAUGUAACCUAGUGCAGCUACAUGUGAAACACCAGCAAGAGAUAAGGUAAUUUUUACUAAAUAAGAUCUGUAAUUGAAUUGAGUCAAUUUCAUUUGUGCAUUCACUGCUGUGGGAAUAAAAAAAAAGCAAGUAGCAAAAAUAGUGCAUCAUAAAAUUGCCCAUGUUGCCUGGUUGAUGGUUUAUUAGCUUAUUCAACAUACCACUCAAUGCAUUGAUUUGCAUUGGGUGUAUAGCUGCUGCAGUGAUUUUUGUCACAAUUUUGAUCCUUCUACGGACACCAAUAUCGUUUGGAAAAUGUGGUAAGUUUCUUAAGAUGUAAAAAUAUGUGGGCAUCAAGUUUAACAUGUGCACCCAGAGGAAUAAAACUGCUCUUUCUUUUUAAUAGGAUAGCAAGGGCACUGCUUUUGUGCAGAACCCUUUAUGUGCACGUAGGUGGGGUUUAUCCAAAACAAAGCUGUUUGUAAUGCACUACAUUUUUUUUUAAAAGGCAGCUGUGCCAGUCACGAUUAGGACAUCACAGUUGUAGGAAAUGCCAAUAGGCACUGAGCAUUCGCACAACCCGAGUUUUUGAGAGAGUGCAAAUGCUGACUGUACUGGUUAUUUCCAAUUGGAUUUAUUUCCACUCAAAAUGAUGCUUGCUUUGGUAGAAGUGCAAUGUGAAACUCCUGAAGGUUUUUUUUUUUUCCUCCAGUUUAUGCUUACCAGUACGCUUCUCUGGAGCUGGAGGAGAUUGUUGCUUAUUAACCUCUAGCUAGAGUUACUGUAUGUGCUACCUUUAGGUAGCAGAAUUGCUCAUAGGUCUGGCUAGCAACCACAGCUAUGCGGUGGAGUAGCACUCCGUUUUUGCAGGCAACAUGCCUACCGUGUCACCGAUUGACAUGUCUGGCGUGUCAAAGACCAGCGACAAACAUUGACUGUCGAUGAUUAGUGUUAAUUCAGUUCGCUGCAGCGGCGGUGUCAAGAAAUACAAAAACUGGCCCGAGCGUCAGCUUCUCCGCAAUGCAUGGUUGCUAGCGGCGUUUGGAAGACAGAUGUGCAGCUCUGUUACCUAGAGGUAGCAUAUACAGUAACUCUACCUCUAGCAGCAGUACCACCUGCCAGUGCAACAGAUCGUACUUGUGUUCUUAUGUGUUUGUUGCACAUCUGACUUCGUUGUCUGACGUACACUGCAUAUGACUGUGCCACUCCUACCCUGUCUUUGUGUCUCGCUUUAUGGAGGUGAGAGCAAGCAGGCACUAUUUCCUAGUGUUGCUGCACCUUUUAAGCUGUCAUACAUUUUGUUCAAGGAGAACAAUAACAAGCACUGUGCAACAUUUACCAGCGACUUUGUUAUCAGGGCAACUGUGAACGUAUGCCCACAACCUGUGGUCGAAGAUACAUUAUGUCAAAUCCCCCUCUGUACAUGUAUUCGCCUUGGGCGACCUUCCUAUAUUUUAUAAUAAAUGGAGAAAUGUUUGUUACA
Molecule: long non-coding RNA, 8492 nt
Organism: Rhipicephalus sanguineus (brown dog tick)
Lineage: Eukaryota; Metazoa; Arthropoda; Arachnida; Ixodida; Ixodidae
Exons: 2
Source: RefSeq, a predicted model, not a curated record